GGCAGGGCCUCUCUGGGGGGCGGGGCGAGUGCGUGCGCAGGCUGAGCUGGACCCGGAUUGCGGCAGAGAAAUGGAGGCUCCUGAGUUGCCGGUACCUGAGGGCCUGGAUUCUUCAGCUGUCUCAAGCGAGGAUUCGUUCUUCAGUUUCUUCGAUAUCUUUCUCUUCUCACUCAUCGCCGCGUUCACCGUCUACUGGUUCUUCUUCAGGAAAAAAAAGGAGGAGAUCCCCGAUUACAGACCAUUACAGACUCCGGGGAGCAUGUUGAGGGUGAAGAGGAG
This is a long non-coding RNA of Callorhinchus milii (elephant shark), 279 nucleotides long. RefSeq lists it as uncharacterized. The record is from RefSeq and is a predicted model, not a curated record. The transcript is spliced from 3 exons. Lineage: Eukaryota; Metazoa; Chordata; Chondrichthyes; Chimaeriformes; Callorhinchidae.